CCUACGGGAGGCAGCAGUGAGGAAUAUUGGUCAAUGGACGCAAGUCUGAACCAGCCAUGCCGCGUGCAGGAAGACGGCUCUAUGAGUUGUAAACUGCUUUUGUACGAGGGUAAACGCAGAUACGCGUAUCUGUCUGAAAGUAUCGUACGAAUAAGGAUCGGCUAACUCCGUGCCAGCAGCCGCGGUAAUACGGAGGAUUCAAGCGUUAUCCGGAUUUAUUGGGUUUAAAGGGUGCGUAGGCGGUCGGAUAAGUUAGAGGUGAAAUCCCGAGGCUCAACUUCGGAAUUGCCUCUGAUACUGUUCGGCGAGAGAGUAGUUGCGGUAGGCGGAAUGUAUGGUGUAGCGGUGAAAUGCUUAGAGAUCAUACAGAACACCGAUUGCGAAGGCAGCUUACCAAGCUACGUCUGACGUUGAGGCACGAAAGCGUGGGGAGCAAACAGGAUUAGAUACCCUAGUAGUC
RNAcentral lists this ribosomal RNA (460 nucleotides) under uncultured bacterium. RNAcentral's name for it is "partial 16S ribosomal RNA". It matches the Rfam family "Bacterial small subunit ribosomal RNA", at positions 338 to 795 of the family's 1533-position model. The record is from RNAcentral.